UACGUAGGGUGCGAGCGUUGUCCGGAAUUACUGGGCGUAAAGAGCUCGUAGGUGGUUUGUCGCGUUGUUCGUGAAAACCGGGGGCUUAACCCUCGGCGUGCGGGCGAUACGGGCAGACUGGAGUACUGCAGGGGAGACUGGAAUUCCUGGUGUAGCGGUGGAAUGCGCAGAUAUCAGGAGGAACACCCGUAGCGAAGGCGGCACUCUGGGCCGAUACUGACACUGAGGAGCGAAAGCGUGGGGAGCGAACAGG
Molecule: ribosomal RNA, 253 nt
Filed under: uncultured bacterium
Lineage: Bacteria
Description: partial 16S ribosomal RNA
Rfam family: Bacterial small subunit ribosomal RNA
Source: RNAcentral